UCCGUAGGUGACCAGCGUUGUCCGGAUUUACUGGGCGUAAAGAGCGCGCAGGCGGUCGUUCAAGUCGAGUGUGAAAGCCCACGGCUCAACUGGGGAGGGUCACUCGAUACUGAUCGACUUGAAGGCAGGAGAGGGAAGCGGAAUUCCCGGUGUAGUGGUGAAAUGCGUAGAUAUCGGGAGGAACACCAGUGGCGAAGGCGGCUUCCUGGCCUGUUCUUGACGCUGAGGCGCGAAAGCUAGGGGAGCAAACGGG
RNAcentral lists this ribosomal RNA (253 nucleotides) under uncultured bacterium. RNAcentral's name for it is "partial 16S ribosomal RNA". It matches the Rfam family "Bacterial small subunit ribosomal RNA", at positions 524 to 776 of the family's 1533-position model. The record is from RNAcentral.